UACGUAGGGUGCGAGCGUUGUCCGGAAUUAUUGGGCGUAAAGAGCUCGUAGGCGGUCUGUCGCGUCGAUCGUGAAAACUUGGGGCUUAACCCUGAGCUUGCGGUCGAUACGGGCAUGACUGGAGUUCGGCAGGGGAGACUGGAAUUCCUGGUGUAGCGGUGAAAUGCGCAGAUAUCAGGAGGAACACCGAUGGCGAAGGCAGGUCACUGGGCCGCAACUGACGCUGAGGAGCGAAAGCAUGGGGAGCGAACAGG
This 254-nucleotide ribosomal RNA is filed under the name uncultured bacterium. RNAcentral's name for it is "partial 16S ribosomal RNA". It matches the Rfam family "Bacterial small subunit ribosomal RNA", at positions 524 to 776 of the family's 1533-position model. The record is from RNAcentral.